AGGCAACUGGUCCCGGGAGUUGGUCGUGGGGGGCUCAUUCUUCACCCUCAACUGCCUCAUCUUCCUCGUCACCUACUUCCUGAUGAAGUGCGAAGGUUCCUAGGAGAAUCACAGGAUGGAGAUCCAAGCCCGAAGAAGAACCUCCAAAGGUCUUUAGCAGGAAUCUUUCCAAGCUGUCUGUGAUGCCAAGGCCCAAUCAAUCAUCCCUGUCCCCUGCCUCAGUUUCCCCAUCUGACAAAUGAUUUUCAUGAUCUUCAUCUUCUAUGUGGGGUGUUGUGAAGCUUAACAUAUUUGCUUUGAAUAGUCUGCAGGUCUCUUCCCUGGUCAUGUGGUUUGGAGCCCUGUGCAGCACCGGGAAUGCAACACAAAAUAUAUUUUAGCCUGCUGUUGUAAUUUUCCAUGUCACAUCACUGCCGUUGGUUCCACUGCUGACGUUGGAGCCGCUUUUAAACUGAAAGAAAGAAAGAAAGAAAGAAAGAAAGAAAGAAAGAAAGAAAGAAAAAAAACUGACCUUUCUUCUCAUUUUCCAGAUCCCAUCUGCCACUCGUUUCCAAGCUGAAUGAAUUCCUGUAAACUCCCCUCCCUUCCUGCUUCAUAAUUAAAGUUUACUCCAACCC
Long non-coding RNA from Trachemys scripta elegans, 617 nucleotides. RefSeq lists it as uncharacterized. Lineage: Eukaryota; Metazoa; Chordata; Testudines; Emydidae. The record is from RefSeq and is a predicted model, not a curated record. The transcript is spliced from 2 exons.